RNAcentral lists this long non-coding RNA (512 nucleotides) under Populus trichocarpa (black cottonwood). RNAcentral's name for it is "long non-coding RNA (PTRI_LNC003139)". Lineage: Eukaryota; Viridiplantae; Streptophyta; Magnoliopsida; Malpighiales; Salicaceae. The record is from RNAcentral.
GCGAAGAAGCGAAGCUUAAGGAGGACGAAGCUAGACUAUGGGUGACGCGUCAGCGAAGAAGGCGACCGGAUCAGGAUCUUGAGAAUGUGGGAAAUAGAUUAGAUAAAUCUUGCAAACCAGGAUCAGAAAAAGCUUGUUCAACAGAUCCUUCCAAUUCUGGUUUUCAUGGAUCCAAGUGUGCCUAUUGGGAAGAAAUUGCUGCAUUGAUAUGAAAUGAUCUUCUGCGCCUAAGCCAACGAUUCAGAUAAGGCUCGAGAGUGAAAUAGAACCUUGACUUUCAUUUGAAACCCAUAAUACUAACUCUGCGAUCGCCUAUGUCUUUCUAUCCUUCCCAACGGUCUCAGUCCUACGAUUGACUUAGAUAAGUGGUGUUCGAAAAAUGCUCGACCAAAGGAAUGAAUCACAAGGUGAAUUUGAAGCCUCAACGAGAAAGGAAGGUCGUUGGGGACAAGUCAAAUUCUUUCAUUUAGUGGUUUCGUAGAUAAGAGAACUCUUGCUUUUAGGAGCUUCAU